Molecule: transfer RNA, 72 nt
Filed under: Sphaerodactylus townsendi
Lineage: Eukaryota; Metazoa; Chordata; Lepidosauria; Squamata; Sphaerodactylidae
Description: tRNA-Ala
Rfam family: tRNA
About the family: Transfer RNA (tRNA) molecules are approximately 80 nucleotides in length. Their secondary structure includes four short double-helical elements and three loops (D, anti-codon, and T loops).
Source: RNAcentral
GGGGCUGUGGCUCAGUGAUAGAGUGUCUGCUUGGCACGCAGAAGUAGCCAGGUUCAAUUCCCAGCACCCCCA